GUGCAGGGCCUUGGGUGCUGCCAACCUCCUCCCCGCUGGGCUUCCGCAGAACUGGAACUCUCACCUCAGGGGCCACCACAUCCCUCCUCUCUGCUUCUCCCCCCAGAUCAAAGGGCACCCUCCACGGUUGGCAGGGCCUGGCUGAGUGCCUCCAGCACCCUUGUGCCACCACAGGCAGUCCCAGGAGGGGCAGCAAGGUCAGACCAUUCCUCAUUGAAAACUGUGGCUAGGGCACAGGGUUGUGAUCUGAAGGAGUAGGUCACAACACUGCCUAAGGCUGUCCCUCUCAAUGCUAGGACCCUCCCCCUACUCCCAGUGGCAGCCAAACCAGCAAUAUCCGACAGAUGUAGGCCCCCUAGGGGACAGUGUGGGCCCCCAGAUACAAGAUGGAUACCCCUGCAGUGAAGCAUCCCAAAGCCAAAUGUCCAAUUGCAUCCUGUCUGCAGCUGGGACUUCGGAAGGUACGGCUGGGCAGACAGCAAAGUUGAUCACCUAUUGUCUCGGGGUGGCAGAUGCAGCCAUGCCUUGACAUCACCACCCGUGACAGCUACCCCUGCACAGUUGGGACAGAUGUCGGGGCCAGAGCCAUGAAGGUGUGGUACCCCUUGAUCAGCUUCUCCAGAAGGUCUUGGCCCCAGGUCUUGGGUGGGGGGUGGGGGGGAGUGUCACAUGAGUACAGAGGUCAAAUAUCUACCACCUUCCAGCCCUGAGCGCCAGAAGUUCUGCAACCUACGUCUUCAGGAAUGACCUUCCCCUUGCUGCCCAGGUUAUACUUCUGGAGGGAGAGAAAAGUCACUCCACAAGGAUUUUCCCACCACUCUACUCUGAAAGCAACACAGUUCUGGCCCAGUAUCUAACUAGGGUUAGGUCCAAGAGAGGAGUCAAGCAGGUGGGGUGCGGGUGGCAGCAGGCAUUCUCCCCCAGGGAAACCACAGAAGUCCCCAGGGCCUGCAGGCACUUUCUAUCACUUUCCCUGUGUGAAGGACCUUAGUUCCAUGGAGAUGAAGGAGGUGAGGUUCAGGUAGAAGCCACAGGGGCAGGCAUCCAGAAUGAGGCCCCCUGAGGAACCCUGAGUGCUGACCAGUGCCAGCAGAAAGUUCCACCCUGUGGCCCUGACACUGUCAGGGAGACACCAACUGCAGCAGGCAGGAGCUACAGGAAGGAAGACGUCAUCCAAUGGAGCCUGAUAUCCCCAGGUUCCCGCCCUGGUGGGCAAGGUCUUCAUUUGGCUUCAGUGCAUGUGAUCCUAUACAGGGAACCUAGUGUGUACCACUCACCAGCCUCUUUCUGUAUCUGGGGAAACCAAGGCAGUGAGAUGACUGCACUCACCUAGCAAUAAAGUAGGCCUUUGGUGCACUUGCGGGCAUGUCCUCUGGGGCAGAAAGCAGGUUCCUUACUGAAGGGCAGAUGGUGGCAAGCAUCUCCCUCAACUGUUUCCCUGGGCCAGUCUUUAGGGAGCCAAGGGACAAGGGCCCACCCUCCCCCUUCCACGUGUGCCAAAUCAGCACCUGAAGUGAGUCAUUUCCAGCAAGCAACUCCACAGACCCAAGAAAAGAAGGACUCCAGUGGAAGAGCUAGCAUCUCACCACCCCAGGUCCCCCGGGCUGGUCCAGGGCAGCCAGCUGCAUGUGACCAUUCUGUUGCCAGCUCCCCACACAUCCCUCCUGUCACCCAGGCCCCAAGACAUUCGACCAACUGGACUGAAACCGCAGGCAUCCAGCUUUGGGAGGCCCUGUGCUACACAGGGCUAAGCUCUCCCAGUACCCUGGCAAGGUCUUUUUUUUUCUCUCCUUAUUCUACUUUACAGUCUUUUCUUUGACAGUAUUCCUAAACUAGGUUGACACAGCUCCAGUCCACACCAGCAUACCAGGCUUCCUCCCCAGGGCAGUUUAGAGGAAGCUCCUUCCGGGCACGGGCAGGCGGUCCUCCUUCCCUCUCCUUCCCCUUUGUCCCGGCCUCAACUGACUGGCUAUGGGAGGUGUGGAGGGUCCUUGGGCUUUCCUCCCCAACCUGGCCUCCACUAGCACCCCUAACAGGAGGCCCGUGGAAGGCUCAGCCUCUCCUCCACAUCCCUCCUCCUUCCUGCCUAUCGGAGGCAACCAGGGUCCCCAAGGCCGACCCUGAAUCCUCUUCCUUCCUUCAUGGGAGGGGGGCAGGAAUCCAGAGGAGGACGAAGCCAGUGGGACCACAUGGCUUGGUGGCUUGGACAAACAAGCUCAGGGAGGAAACGAGGAGGCGGCGGCUGCAGAGGAAUGCAACCCUCUUGGGCACAGACCAUGCAAUCUGGGGCUGGCCCUGGGGCCAGCUGGGUCCUGUUCUCCACCUGCUCAACCGUGCUUCCACCAACCAGAGGAAUCCCAUUUACUAGUUUUUCUAAUAAAUCAAUAAUGCUCC
Macaca fascicularis (crab-eating macaque) is the source of this 2394-nucleotide long non-coding RNA. The record is from Ensembl. Lineage: Eukaryota; Metazoa; Chordata; Mammalia; Primates; Cercopithecidae.